Molecule: long non-coding RNA, 591 nt
Filed under: Dasypus novemcinctus (nine-banded armadillo)
Lineage: Eukaryota; Metazoa; Chordata; Mammalia; Cingulata; Dasypodidae
Description: lncRNA (ENSDNOG00000050026.1)
Source: RNAcentral
CCGGCGGCCGCGGUCUCGCAGCCUCCGGACCAGCCAUGUCUCUCGGCGGAGCCUCCGAGCGCAGUGUCCCGGCCACCAAGAUUGAAAUCACCGUGUCCUGCCGGAAUCUGCUGGACCUCGACACCUUCUCCAAGUCCGACCCCAGUAGGCGGCGCCAGGGCCGGGAGGGGGAACUUGGGGUCCGGGUGCGGCUGAGGGGCGGGGGGGAGAAGAACAAAAAGGUGCGGCGCGACCUGACGCCCCCGCCCCCCGCAGUGGUGGUGCUGUACACGCAAAGCCGGGCCAGCCAGGAGUGGCGGGAGGUGAGUCCGAGAGCCCCUGCCGGCCCGAGCCGCCCGGGAAUCACCUGCCCUCCUGCAGCCCCGCGCUGACCCUCUCCGCCUCCCGCCCAGUUCGGACGAACGGAGGUGAUCGACAACACGCUGAACCCGGACUUCCUGCGCAAAUUCGUCCUCGACUAUUUUUUUGAAGAAAAGCAAAAUCUGCGCUUCGAUGUGUGAGGCCCCGCCCAGAAUCACGGCUUGGCCCGCCCCCGACCUGGAAUCCUGGCUGGGCGGGGCCGCGCCUGCGCCCUAGCUCCGCCCCCAGCUC